GCGUGCUGUGCUUAAGAUUGGCCCUAAUGAACCAUCUCAGCUUUCCAUUAAUGAGAAUGCGAAUGGGUUGGCUAGGUAUGCCAUCAUCUGCCAGGAGAAUGGCUUGGUACCAAUUGUGGAGCCUGAGAUUUUGGUUGAUGGACCUCAUGACAUUAAGAAGUGCGCUGAUGUAACUGAGCGGGUUCUUGCUGCUUGCUACAAGGCUCUCAAUGACCACCAUGUUUUGCUUGAGGGAACUCUUUUGAAACCCAACAUGGUGACUCCAGGAUCAGAAUCCGCCAAGGUUGCACCAGAGGUGAUUGCUGAGUACACGGUCCGUGCCCUCCAAUGCACUGUGCCUGCCGCUGUUCCUGCUGUUGUGUUCUUGUCUGGUGGGCAGAGUGAGGAGGAAGCUACCGUCAACCUGAAUGCGAUGAACAAGCUCAAGACCAAGAAGCCAUGGUCCCUUUCCUUCUCAUUUGGACGUGCACUUCAACAAAGUACCCUCAAGGCUUGGGCAGGUAAGCCAGAGAAUGUGCAGAAGGCUCAAGCUGCAUUCCUGGUCAGGGCUA
Molecule: long non-coding RNA, 551 nt
Filed under: Jatropha curcas
Lineage: Eukaryota; Viridiplantae; Streptophyta; Magnoliopsida; Malpighiales; Euphorbiaceae
Description: long non-coding RNA (JCUR_LNC000708)
Source: RNAcentral